This 618-nucleotide ribosomal RNA is filed under the name uncultured phototrophic eukaryote. RNAcentral's name for it is "bacterial SSU rRNA". It matches the Rfam family "Bacterial small subunit ribosomal RNA", at positions 56 to 718 of the family's 1533-position model. The record is from RNAcentral.
UGCAAGUCGUACGAGAGUUUUAAACUCAAGUGGCGGACGGGUGAGUAACACGUAAGAAUUUACCUUUAGGAGGGGGACAACAGCUGGAAACGGUCGCUAAUACCCCAUAUGCUUUCGAGUGAAAUGGAUUUUUCCGCCUAGAGAGAAGCUUGCGGCUGAUUAGCUUGUUGGUAAGGUAAUGGCUUACCAAGGCGACGAUCAGUAUCUGGUUUGAGAGGACGAUCAGACACACUGGAACUGAGACACGGUCCAGACUCCUACGGGAGGCAGCAGUGGGGAAUUUUCCGCAAUUGGCGCAAGCCUGACGGAGCAAUCUCGCGUGAGGGAUGACUGCCUAUGGGUUGUAAACCUCUUUUUUCAGGGAGGAAUUAAUGACGUGUACCUGAAGAAUAAGCAUCGGCUAACUCCGUGCCAGCAGCCGCGGUAAGACGGAGAUGCAAGUGUUAUCCGGAAUCACUGGGCGUAAAGCGUCUGUAGGUGGUUUAAUAAGUCAACUGUUAAAUCUUGAAGCUCAACUUCAAAAUCGUAGUCGAAACUAUUAGACUAGAGUAUAGUAGGGUAAAGGGAAUUUCCGUGGACGGUGAAAUGCGUAGAGAUUGGAAAGAACACCGAUGGCGA